GACGAACGCUGGCGGCGUGCCUAAUACAUGCAAGUCGAACGAGAGCGACCGGUGCUUGCACUGGUCAAUCUAGUGGCGAACGGGUGAGUAACACGUGGGUAACCUGCUCAUCAGAGGGGGAUAACAUCCGGAAACGGAUGCUAAAACCGCAUAGGUCUUCGAGCCGCAUGGCUUGAAGAGGAAAAGAGGCGCAAGCUUCUGCUGAUGGAUGGACCCGCGGUGCAUUAGCUAGUUGGUGAGGUAACGGCUCACCAAGGCCGUGAUGCAUAGCCGACCUGAGAGGGUGAUCGGCCACAUUGGGACUGAGACACGGCCCAAACUCCUACGGGAGGCAGCAGUAGGGAAUCUUCCGCAGUGGACGCAAGUCUGACGGAGCAACGCCGCGUGAGUGAAGAAGGUUUUCGGAUCGUAAAACUCUGUUGUUAGAGAAGAACAAGUGCUAGAGUAACUGUUAGCGCCUUGACGGUAUCUAACCAGAAAGCCACGGCUAACUACGUG
This 498-nucleotide ribosomal RNA is filed under the name uncultured bacterium. RNAcentral describes it as "partial 16S ribosomal RNA". It matches the Rfam family "Bacterial small subunit ribosomal RNA", at positions 28 to 507 of the family's 1533-position model. The record is from RNAcentral.